RNAcentral lists this long non-coding RNA (572 nucleotides) under Lonchura striata (white-rumped munia). RNAcentral describes it as "domestica (Bengalese finch) lncRNA (ENSLSDG00000009767.1)". The record is from RNAcentral. Lineage: Eukaryota; Metazoa; Chordata; Aves; Passeriformes; Estrildidae.
AGUCCCAUAAAAAGCUUUGCAUACACUUGGACUGGAGAUGUACUAGAGCUACAAUGGGGUUGCUGUUGGAUCCUGCAGAAAUAGGGAGGCAUAUCCCAGGAAUUGGAUUUUACAGAUCAAAUCUAGUACAAAAAGUUAAGUAUAUUCUGCAGCCAAAAUGCUAUUAGGGCGUAUACUUCUGCCUUUAAGGUACCAAAUCUUUUAAUCAGCAUAAAACACUGCUCCUUUGGACUGCAAAUAAUUGAAGCUAUUUAUCAUGUGCUUAGCAGUUAAAUGAACUAUUUCUCUGCUGGAAUGCUACAGCUGUUUGUUAACACUGCACAGUUUCAGAAGAGUUUAAGUGAAAAAAGAGAAAACAAUCUGCUUAAAAUGUGUUUUAUGCUGUUCAUCACUAGAAGUAAUCCUUUUAACAAGAAACUCUUUCCUAGACCUAGAAGAUCAGAUGUGAUUCAGUAAGGUGAGUAUUGAUUAAAUAAUGUACCCAUCCACCUGGGAAUGAAGUUCAGAGAGUUUGUAGGAAAAAUUAGCCUAAAUUAUCACUGAAUAAAAAAUAAAUAUUAUUUAUUAAUACA